AACAGAAACUUCUCCACAAACUAUUUGGAAAGAAAGAAAAUACUUAUCAAAAAGAUUCUGAAUUGAUGACAACAUACAUAUACCAGAAGACAGGAGAUUAACUCUGAAUUAGAGCAACUCUGGACUCAGGAUCAGAUGAUAGAACACCAUGCUGACCACUUUCACCAACUUGGAAACACAGCUAACAUAUUAUCCAAGUGAAGCAUUUUACUGGGUUUUGAUGUCAUUUAUUACACAAAAAAUGCAAUACUUUACAAUAGCAUACAAAAACAACAGAUUGACAUCAGACAAUGGAAUUUACCAGUCAUAUUUUAACAAAUACCUUUGCAUAACUGGUGGGGAAGGACCUGUCACUACAUCUUACAAAGGAAGCAGUUUGAAUUCCAAAAAGAUUUGUCUUGGACUUUGCUGGGACUGUUCUACAUGCUGAGGAGUCAGUGAGAACAAGAACAUUCAAUAAGUUUAUACUAUCCUGGAGGCAGACAGUAGACAAUUAAAAUAACUACCGACAAGUACAAUGAAGACAAUAAAAAAGGGCCACUAGAACUCUCUCAGUGGGGCUACAUUACCCUUUCUAAGGAGCUGACAUUUGGCUUCAGCCUGAACUUCCAGGGGUCAAGGGUGAGAAGACUUUCGAGCAGAACAUUCCCAGCAGCGCAAAAGCAAAUACAAAGGCCCAGAGAUCAAAACAAGAUUAGAAGAUUUACUAGCCAGAAGCAAAGCCACUGUAGCUAAAACCCGGUGACCCUGGAGGAAAGAAGAGAGGGUCAAAAUGGAAAAAGUGGCCAAAGAUAGAGGCUGAUGACCUUGUAAGGAAUAUUCCAGUGCAAUAGCGUGGAAGAAAGUCUGAUUAGGAAAAAGCUGAACGGAGAGUGGGAAUGAGCAAGUGGCAACAUAGGGUGACAGACAUUAAGUCAAGUGACUUAAUGACAAUGAUCAAGUGGAGAAGACAACACUGAUGAUACAGGAGACGAAGGGUAAUACCACAGGUAAGCUUUCGAAGAGGCCAGAGGCCAUGGAAUUCAGGGCUGCAAUGUUUGUCUAAUACAGAUGCAGGAAGAGGCUUCUACUGUAAG
Long non-coding RNA from Symphalangus syndactylus (siamang), 1076 nucleotides. RefSeq lists it as uncharacterized. The record is from RefSeq and is a predicted model, not a curated record. Lineage: Eukaryota; Metazoa; Chordata; Mammalia; Primates; Hylobatidae.